This 253-nucleotide ribosomal RNA is filed under the name uncultured bacterium. RNAcentral describes it as "partial 16S ribosomal RNA". It matches the Rfam family "Bacterial small subunit ribosomal RNA", at positions 524 to 776 of the family's 1533-position model. The record is from RNAcentral.
UACGUAGGGGGCAAGCGUUAAUCGGAAUUACUGGGCGUAAAGCGUGCGCAGGUGGUUCGCUAAGACAGAUGUGAAAGCCCCGGGCUCAACCUGGGAACUGCGUUUGUGACUGGCGGGCUAGAGUGCGGAAGAGGGCGGUGGAAUUCCACGUGUAGCAGUGAAAUGCGUAGAGAUGUGGAGGAACACCGAUGGCGAAGGCAGCCUCCUGGUCUUGCACUGACGCUCAUGCACGAAAGCGUGGGGAGCAAACAGG